Molecule: ribosomal RNA, 465 nt
Filed under: uncultured bacterium
Lineage: Bacteria
Description: partial 16S ribosomal RNA
Rfam family: Bacterial small subunit ribosomal RNA
Source: RNAcentral
GACGAACGCUGGCGGCGUGCUUAACACAUGCAAGUCGAACGGAAAGGCCCCUUUUGGGGUACUCGAGUGUCGAACGGGUGAGUAACACGUGAGUAACCUGCCCUUUACUUCGGGAGAACUUCAUGAAACUGGGGCUAAUACCGGAUAGGGAUCCUUGCUGCAGGGUGGGGGUUGGAAAGCUUCUGCGGUGUUGGAUGGACUCGCGGCCUAUCAGCUUGUUGGUGGGGUAGUGGCUUACCAAGGCGGUGACGGGUAGCCGGCCUGAGAGGGCGAACGGCCACAUUGGGACUGAGAUACGGCCCAGACUCCUACGGGAGGCAGCAGUGGGGAAUAUUGCACAAUGGGCGGAAGCCUGAUGCAGCAACGCCGCGUGCGGGAUGACGGCCUUCGGGUUGUAAACCGCUUUCAGCAGGGGCGAAGCUUGUGGUGACGGUACCUGCAGAAGAAGCACCGGCUAACUACGUG